UCCUGUUUUGCUCUGAACAUCGCCC
This 25-nucleotide non-coding RNA is filed under the name Cricetulus griseus (Chinese hamster). Lineage: Eukaryota; Metazoa; Chordata; Mammalia; Rodentia; Cricetidae. The record is from RNAcentral.